This 408-nucleotide ribosomal RNA is filed under the name uncultured bacterium. RNAcentral describes it as "partial 16S ribosomal RNA". It matches the Rfam family "Bacterial small subunit ribosomal RNA", at positions 28 to 526 of the family's 1533-position model. The record is from RNAcentral.
GACGAACGCUGGCGGCGUGCUUAACACAUGCAAGUCGAACGGAGUGGCGAACGGGUGAGUAACACGUGUGUGACAUGCCCUGCACUUCGGGAUAAGCCUGGGAAACUGGGUCUAAUACCGGAAAGUGUGGGAUGGGCCCGGGGCCUAUUGGCUUGUUGGUGGGGUAAUGGACUACCCAGGCGGGGACGGGUAGUCGGCCUGAGAGGGUGGACGGCCACAUUGGGCCUGAGACACGUCCCAGUCUGCUACUGGGGUCAGUAGUGGCGAAUAUUGCACAAUGGGCGGAAGCCUGACUCAGCGACGCCGCGUGGGGGAUGACGGCCUUCGGGUUGUAAACUCCUUUCACCAUCGACGCGGUAGAUGGAGAAGAAGCACCGGCUAACUACGUGCCAGCAGCCGCUGUAAUAC